Molecule: ribosomal RNA, 650 nt
Filed under: Erysiphe tectonae
Lineage: Eukaryota; Fungi; Ascomycota; Leotiomycetes; Helotiales; Erysiphaceae
Description: partial large subunit ribosomal RNA
Rfam family: Eukaryotic large subunit ribosomal RNA
Source: RNAcentral
CGACGAGUCGAGUUGUUUGGGAAUGCAGCUCAAAAUGGGUGGUAAAUUUCAUCUAAAGCUAAAUAUAGGCCAGAGACCGAUAGCGCACAAGUAGAGUGAUCGAAAGAUGAAAAGCACUUUGGAAAGAGAGUUAAACAGUACGUGAAAUUGUUGAAAGGGAAGCGCUUGCAACCAGACUUGGGCGCUGCUUGAUCAUCCAUGAGUUCUUCUCUGGUGCACUCGACAGCGCACAGGCCAGCAUCGGUUCGGAUGGCUGGAUAAAGGCCGAAGAAAUGUAGCUCUCUUCGGAGAGUGUUAUAGUCUACGGUGACAUGCAGCCCAGCCGGACCGAGGACCGCGCCUUCGGGCUAGGAUGCUGGCGUAAUGGUUGUAAGCGACCCGUCUUGAAACACGGACCAAGGAGUCUAACAUCUAUGCGAGUGUUUGGGUGUCAAACCCAUACGCGGAAUGAAAGUGAAUGUAGGUGAGAACCCCAUUUUAGGGGUGCAUCAUCGACCGAUCCUGAUGUCUUCGGAUGGAUUUGAGUAAGAGCAUAGCUGUUGGGACCCGAAAGAUGGUGAACUAUGCCUGAAUAGGGUGAAGCCAGAGGAAACUCUGGUGGAGGCUCGCAGCGGUUCUGACGUGCAAAUCGAUCGUCAAAUUUGGGUAUA